This 524-nucleotide long non-coding RNA is filed under the name Hordeum vulgare. RNAcentral's name for it is "long non-coding RNA (HVUL_LNC009643)". The record is from RNAcentral. Lineage: Eukaryota; Viridiplantae; Streptophyta; Magnoliopsida; Poales; Poaceae.
GGGAGUUGUGGCUCGAGGAUGACGGGAUUAGUUUUGAGGGCUUUGUGGUUGGCCGGACAUGUAUGGGUUGGCCACGGACAAUGUUUGGGGUGCGAUUUUUGGGUGAUUUUUGGCCAUUGGAGGGGGAUCCCAUGGACCAAAUCUGACCUAGGAUAUGGAGAGUUUGGUGACUAGGGGGAGGUUUAUGAUGGGGGUGGCUGCAAUUUUGGCAACAGGGAAUCCUAGAGAGUGAGAGGCACUCUCCAUAGGGUGGGUUUAUAUAUAGGGAAUGGACUAUGGUGGGAUCGACCUCGUCCGUCCGAUCGCAAUCCAAAAGCCACAAACGGAGGGAGGGGCUAGGUUGGUCUAUUGGGUUGUGUAGACGGGCUAGGUGGGAUGAGAGGGAAGGUUGUGCCUCGUGACAAAGUUUUUAAGCACCGAAAACGUGUGACGUUUGACCAGCUAUAGUGUCGCUAUACAUUAAUUGGUUCGGGUAUCCUACAUACUUUGAUUGUGAUGAAAUUUGGCAUGCAGCCUACCUAUAC